Molecule: ribosomal RNA, 318 nt
Filed under: uncultured bacterium
Lineage: Bacteria
Description: bacterial SSU rRNA
Rfam family: Bacterial small subunit ribosomal RNA
Source: RNAcentral
GAUGAACGCUGGCGGCGUGCCUAAUACAUGCAAGUCGAGCGCGAAGAUCAGGAGCUUGCUCCUGAGAUUCGAGCGGCGGACGGGUGAGUAACACGUAGGCAACCUACCCUUGAGAUUGGGAUAACUACCGGAAACGGUAGCUAAUACCGGAUACGACAUUCCUGCAUAAGUAAGAAUGUUAAAAGGCGGAUUUAUCUGCCGCUCAUGGAUGGGCCUGCGGUGCAUUAGCUAGUUGGUGAGAUAGUAGCUCACCAAGGCGACGAUGCAUAGCCGACCUGAGAGGGUGAUCGGCCACACUGGGACUGAGACACGGCCCAG